This 2898-nucleotide ribosomal RNA is filed under the name Klebsiella pneumoniae. RNAcentral describes it as "bacterial LSU rRNA". It matches the Rfam family "Bacterial large subunit ribosomal RNA". Lineage: Bacteria; Pseudomonadati; Pseudomonadota; Gammaproteobacteria; Enterobacterales; Enterobacteriaceae. The record is from RNAcentral.
UUAAGCGACUAAGCGUACACGGUGGAUGCCCUGGCAGUCAGAGGCGAUGAAGGACGUGCUAAUCUGCGAAAAGCGUCGGUAAGGUGAUAUGAACCGUUAUAACCGGCGAUGUCCGAAUGGGGAAACCCAGUGCAAUUCGUUGCACUAUCGUUAACUGAAUACAUAGGUUAACGAGGCGAACCGGGGGAACUGAAACAUCUAAGUACCCCGAGGAAAAGAAAUCAACCGAGAUUCCCCCAGUAGCGGCGAGCGAACGGGGAGCAGCCCAGAGUCUGAAUCAGCUUGUGUGUUAGUGGAACGGUCUGGAAAGUCCGACGGUACAGGGUGAUAGUCCCGUACACCAAAAUGCACAGGCUGUGAACUCGAAGAGUAGGGCGGGACACGUGGUAUCCUGUCUGAAUAUGGGGGGACCAUCCUCCAAGGCUAAAUACUCCUGACUGACCGAUAGUGAACCAGUACCGUGAGGGAAAGGCGAAAAGAACCCCGGCGAGGGGAGUGAAAAAGAACCUGAAACCGUGUACGUACAAGCAGUGGGAGCACCUUCGGGUGUGACUGCGUACCUUUUGUAUAAUGGGUCAGCGACUUAUAUUCUGUAGCAAGGUUAACCGUAUAGGGGAGCCGCAGGGAAACCGAGUCUUAACUGGGCGUUAAGUUGCAGGGUAUAGACCCGAAACCCGGUGAUCUAGCCAUGGGCAGGUUGAAGGUUGGGUAACACUAACUGGAGGACCGAACCGACUAAUGUUGAAAAAUUAGCGGAUGACUUGUGGCUGGGGGUGAAAGGCCAAUCAAACCGGGAGAUAGCUGGUUCUCCCCGAAAGCUAUUUAGGUAGCGCCUCGUGAAUUCAUCUUCGGGGGUAGAGCACUGUUUCGGCUAGGGGGUCAUCCCGACUUACCAACCCGAUGCAAACUACGAAUACCGAAGAAUGUUAUCACGGGAGACACACGGCGGGUGCUAACGUCCGUCGUGAAGAGGGAAACAACCCAGACCGCCAGCUAAGGUCCCAAAGUCAUGGUUAAGUGGGAAACGAUGUGGGAAGGCACAGACAGCCAGGAUGUUGGCUUAGAAGCAGCCAUCAUUUAAAGAAAGCGUAAUAGCUCACUGGUCGAGUCGGCCUGCGCGGAAGAUGUAACGGGGCUAAACCAUGCACCGAAGCUGCGGCAGCGACACUAUGUGUUGUUGGGUAGGGGAGCGUUCUGUAAGCCUGCGAAGGUGACCUGUGAGGGUUGCUGGAGGUAUCAGAAGUGCGAAUGCUGACAUAAGUAACGAUAAAGCGGGUGAAAAGCCCGCUCGCCGGAAGACCAAGGGUUCCUGUCCAACGUUAAUCGGGGCAGGGUGAGUCGACCCCUAAGGCGAGGCCGAAAGGCGUAGUCGAUGGGAAACAGGUUAAUAUUCCUGUACUUGGUGUUACUGCGAAGGGGGGACGGAGAAGGCUAUGUUAGCCGGGCGACGGUUGUCCCGGUUUAAGCAUGUAGGCUGGUUGUCCAGGCAAAUCCGGAUAAUCAAGGCUGAGGUGUGAUGACGAGGCACUACGGUGCUGAAGUAACAAAUGCCCUGCUUCCAGGAAAAGCCUCUAAGCAUCAGGUAACAUCAAAUCGUACCCCAAACCGACACAGGUGGUCAGGUAGAGAAUACCAAGGCGCUUGAGAGAACUCGGGUGAAGGAACUAGGCAAAAUGGUGCCGUAACUUCGGGAGAAGGCACGCUGGUGUGUAGGUGAAGUCCCUGCGGAUGGAGCUGAGACCAGUCGAAGAUACCAGCUGGCUGCAACUGUUUAUUAAAAACACAGCACUGUGCAAACACGAAAGUGGACGUAUACGGUGUGACGCCUGCCCGGUGCCGGAAGGUUAAUUGAUGGGGUUAUCCGUAAGGAGAAGCUCUUGAUCGAAGCCCCGGUAAACGGCGGCCGUAACUAUAACGGUCCUAAGGUAGCGAAAUUCCUUGUCGGGUAAGUUCCGACCUGCACGAAUGGCGUAAUGAUGGCCAGGCUGUCUCCACCCGAGACUCAGUGAAAUUGAACUCGCUGUGAAGAUGCAGUGUACCCGCGGCAAGACGGAAAGACCCCGUGAACCUUUACUAUAGCUUGACACUGAACAUUGAGCCUUGAUGUGUAGGAUAGGUGGGAGGCUUUGAAGCGUGGACGCCAGUCUGCGUGGAGCCAACCUUGAAAUACCACCCUUUAAUGUUUGAUGUUCUAACGUUGGCCCCUGACCGGGGUUGCGGACAGUGUCUGGUGGGUAGUUUGACUGGGGCGGUCUCCUCCCAAAGCGUAACGGAGGAGCACGAAGGUUAGCUAAUCCUGGUCGGACAUCAGGAGGUUAGUGCAAUGGCAUAAGCUAGCUUGACUGCGAGCGUGACGGCGCGAGCAGGUGCGAAAGCAGGUCAUAGUGAUCCGGUGGUUCUGAAUGGAAGGGCCAUCGCUCAACGGAUAAAAGGUACUCCGGGGAUAACAGGCUGAUACCGCCCAAGAGUUCAUAUCGACGGCGGUGUUUGGCACCUCGAUGUCGGCUCAUCACAUCCCGGGCUGAAGUAGGUCCCAAGGGUAUGGCUGUUCGCCAUUUAAAGUGGUACGCGAGCUGGGUUUAGAACGUCGUGAGACAGUUCGGUCCCUAUCUGCCGUGGGCGCUGGAGAAUUGAGGGGGGCUGCUCCUAGUACGAGAGGACCGGAGUGGACGCAUCACUGGUGUUCGGGUUGUCAUGCCAAUGGCACUGCCCGGUAGCUAAAUGCGGAAGAGAUAAGUGCUGAAAGCAUCUAAGCACGAAACUUGCCCCGAGAUGAGUUCUCCCUGAGACUUUAAGUCUCCUGAAGGAACGUUGAAGACGACGACGUUGAUAGGCCGGGUGUGUAAGCGCAGCGAUGCGUUGAGCUAACCGGUACUAAUGAACCGUGAGGCUUAACCU